RNAcentral lists this ribosomal RNA (374 nucleotides) under uncultured organism. RNAcentral describes it as "partial 16S ribosomal RNA". It matches the Rfam family "Bacterial small subunit ribosomal RNA", at positions 527 to 896 of the family's 1533-position model. The record is from RNAcentral.
GUAGGUGGCAAGCGUUGUCCGGAAUUAUUGGGCGUAAAGCGCGCGCAGGCGGGGUUUUUAAGUCUGAUGUGAAAGCCCACGGGUUCAACCGUGGAGGGUCAUUGGAAACUGGAGAACUUGAGUACAGAAGAGGAAAGCGGAAUUCCACGUGUAGCGGUGAAAUGCGUAGAGAUGUGGAGGAACACCAGUGGCGAAGGCGGCUUUCUGGUCUGUAACUGACGCUGAGGCGCGAAAGCGUGGGGAGCAAACAGGAUUAGAUACCCUGGUAGUCCACGCCGUAAACGAUGAGUGCUAAGUGUUAGGGGGUUUCCGCCCCUUAGUGCUGCAGCUAACGCAUUAAGCACUCCGCCUGGGGAGUACGGCCGCAAAGGCUG